GCGAACGCUGGCGGCAGGCCUAACACAUGCAAGUCGAACGAACCUUUCGGGGUUAGUGGCGGACGGGUGAGUAACACGUGGGAACGUGCCUUUAGGUUCGGAAUAACUCAGGGAAACUUGUGCUAAUACCGAAUGUGCCCUUCGGGGGAAAGAUUUAUCGCCUUUAGAGCGGCCCGCGUCUGAUUAGCUAGUGGUUGAGGUAAUGGCUCACCAAGGCGACGAUCAGUAGCUGGUCUGAGAGGAUGAUCAGCCACAUUGGGACUGAGACACGGCCCAAACUCCUACGGGAGGCAGCAGUGGGGAAUCUUGCGCAAUGGGCGAAAGCCUGACGCAGCCAUGCCGCGUGAAUGAUGAAGGUCUUAGGAUUGUAAAAUUCUUUCACCGGGGACGAUAAUGACGGUACCCGGAGAAGAAGCCCCGGCUAACUUCGUG
RNAcentral lists this ribosomal RNA (432 nucleotides) under uncultured bacterium. RNAcentral's name for it is "partial 16S ribosomal RNA". It matches the Rfam family "Bacterial small subunit ribosomal RNA", at positions 29 to 507 of the family's 1533-position model. The record is from RNAcentral.